Molecule: long non-coding RNA, 2438 nt
Organism: Cyclopterus lumpus (lumpfish)
Lineage: Eukaryota; Metazoa; Chordata; Actinopteri; Perciformes; Cyclopteridae
Exons: 3
Source: RefSeq, a predicted model, not a curated record
UAUCCACCCAAUCCACACAGUACAGUAGAGAAACCACAGUGUGAACUAAAAGGACAGCUUUACAGUUCAUGUCGGCGACCACAAAGAGGGCAAUAACGAAGGAAGCGGCAGCGACAGACCACCGCAGGAAGAAACGUGAUGAUGACACUGAAACAUUUGACAUGCCACUGAGACUGAUCAGCAAACGGUGCAGCUUUAACUUCAGUAGAGGGCAUUAGCCUCACUGCGCACUCACCGGGGGUGAAUAAGAGUUGGUCGUUACACUCGUCCACGUCCGUACAGGAGCAGAUGUGAGCCAUCCCGCUCGUGGUGUUCUUCUCCUUCAUCACGCAGGUGGAGCUGUUGUAGUCGUCCAGCAUCACACCGUAGAGCGACGUGGACGGGUCGUGGCACAGGGUUUCGAUGGAGAAGUCGGUCUCGUUCUUUCUCCUGAGAGACGGGCAGAGGUGAGACUGUUAGGCCCAUUAAGACUGAUCUGGUUACAUCCCGUCUCAGUUCUGCUCUCGGGUACCUACCAGAUGGAGACACAGACCUCGUUGCUGUCCAUACAAAUGGACGUAAUGGUGCAGUUGGACAUGCAGGUCCCCGUGCCGCUGCAGGAGGAAAGCUUCACGUCGCAGAACAUACAGAGCUGACUCAUCUGGAAAACUGGAGGUGGUCUGGAUGCACCGAUCGGAUUUUUCAGUCCCGAGACCGAUACCUGGGCUUUGGGGCCGAUACCGGCGCACUGAGAUCAUCCUUUUCGUGUAGAGCAACAUCAGGUUUGACUCAAACAUCGCUUUCAAGCGACACGUAAGAAAUAAAUGCAUAGAUAGAAAUCUAUUGGUGCAUCCUGACUGCAAACUAGGUACUGUACACAACUGCAGGAACCACAGGAAAGCAUCAGCUGCUGAAUGCCACAAGGCCAUUAAAACACGGUCGACGCAGGCAUCCCCAGAGAGGGAAACACCUCCACCGGGCUGGAUGGGGCCUGAGGAAACCAUUGAGCCAUACAGGAAUAGGCCAGGCCACACUGAACCACAAACACAGGCAACCACAGCUGAAUCAAUAGGCAGCCUGUGCCAAGCUACAGCAAAUUCUUACAUCAAAACCACUUUGGAUACAUAAACCCCAAAACCUCAUGGAAUAUUAAAAGAAUGCCUUGAAAACACUGUGCACAUGGAUUUCCUGAAAGACGCAAUAAAACUUUUUUUUAAUAUGCAUUCACGCAUCAAAGAAAAGAGUUUUUUCUGAUCUGUCCACUGUAGAUUUUCAGGAUGAGCAGACAGACCCGUCUCCUGCAGAAAAAAUUACUAACACGGCUAAUCAUAAACUUAUGGCAACCCCCUUUUUUUAUUUGCUCUUUUCAUGUUUGACGGGCUAGAAUUUUGCAUUUGUGAUCCAUAAUUCUCCCAGAGAUACAUUAACGUAGUUUGAUACGGUCACCCUGGGCUGGUUGGUAGCUGUAAUCAGCACAAUCUCACCCGUCAUUCUACUACCUGUUCAGACCUGCUCGUCUGACUCCAAGCCCCCCUGACAGAUGGUCUCGGUAGGCAGGGCUGUGUUGGAAAUACAGGUAAAACUGGAGGUUUUAGAGCCUAAACAUGCAGAAAAGAAGGUCUCUUCGUGUGGCUUUUGAGUUCAAGUAAGAGUGGGUUGGAAGCGGUGUAUAGUACUGAGGUUUUGUGGUACAACCUUCCGGCUCUGCACCACACAUCAGCUUUUCCAACACUGUUUGCAGCUGUUCCCCCAGCGGCUUUAGCUCGAUGCAAAUUAUUGCAUCGAGCUAAAGCCGCGAGUUAUUCUUUUAUUUGGGUCUUUCAGGAAAAAAAAGUGUGCUUUCCGGUCCUGAUUUUUCUAAAAUAAUUGAGAUAGCUAAUUCAACGGCAGCCCCUCACUCGUCCAGAAUCCAAGACGCAGUCAACUCAACUGCCGCAGAGCAGUCCUUGUAUCGCUAAAUCAUUUGACACGUCUGCGAUGUCUGCAGAGCAGAGCUGUGAAACCCGACCAGAGGCGUGACUCCACGAGUUCUCAUUGGCCUCCCUUGUGACCUCAAACUCCACGCACUCUCCUUUGAGGCUUCACUGCUACGGUUGUACGUCUUCGUGGUGGAUGUGUGCACGCUGGUGUGCAUUAAGCACAGUUAAUAUACUUUGGAGACGCAUUCCGUCACACGGUAAGAGGGUAGUUUGGGGACAGGCCCGAGAGCGUGAAAUAGCAGGGCGCUCACACCCACGCACAACCUCAGAGGCAAAUAAAACCUGCUGAUUUAGUGCAGCAAAGGGCCACAGAGAAGGAAUAACUGAAUGAGUAAGGCGGGGUAGAGUUGCACCGGGCAGCCGGUGAGCUCAGCAAGUCUUUUAUGGUGUUGAUUAAUCUUGAUUGCACUGUUGUGUAAUGCUUUUUGAUAGUUGGUUGUUUUUUGCUGGUAAAGGGUUAACUUUGAUUAACUGUUGUCA